RNAcentral lists this ribosomal RNA (348 nucleotides) under uncultured bacterium. RNAcentral describes it as "partial 16S ribosomal RNA". It matches the Rfam family "Bacterial small subunit ribosomal RNA", at positions 338 to 683 of the family's 1533-position model. The record is from RNAcentral.
CCUACGGGUGGCAGCAGUGAGGAAUAUUGGUCAAUGGGCGGAAGCCUGAACCAGCCAAGUAGCGUGCAGGAUGACGGCCCUACGGGUUGUAAACUGCUUUUAUACGGGAAUAACGCGCCUUACGUGUAGGGCUUUGCAUGUACCGUAUGAAUAAGGACCGGCUAAUUCCGUGCCAGCAGCCGCGGUAAUACGGAAGGUCCGGGCGUUAUACGGAUUUAUUGGGUUGAAAGGGAGCGUAGGCGGCAUGUCAAGCGUGCUGGGAAAUGUCCGGGCUCAACCCGGGCCGUGCAGCGCGGACGGGUGUGCUGGAGGCCGCGGAGAGCAGGCGGGAGUCGGGGGGUAGCGGGG